Molecule: ribosomal RNA, 450 nt
Filed under: uncultured bacterium
Lineage: Bacteria
Description: partial 16S ribosomal RNA
Rfam family: Bacterial small subunit ribosomal RNA
Source: RNAcentral
CCUACGGGAGGCAGCAGUGGGGAAUUUUGGACAAUGGGGGCAACCCUGAUCCAGCCAUGCCGCGUGCGGGAAGAAGGCCUUCGGGUUGUAAACCGCUUUUGUCAGGAGAGAAAUCUCUUGGGCUAAUACCCUGAGAGGAUGACGGUACCUGAAGAAUAAGCACCGGCUAACUACGUGCCAGCAGCCGCGGUAAUACGUAGGGUGCAAGCGUUAAUCGGAAUGACUGGAGGUGAAUGUGCAAGACGCGGGUGAAAUCCCCAGGCUUAACCUGGGAACUGCACUUGUGACUGCACGGCUAGAGUACGGCAGAGGGGGAUGGAAUUCCGCGUGUAGCAGUGAAAUGCGUAGAUAUGCGGAGGAACACCGAUGGCGAAGGCAGUCCCCUGGGCCUGUACUGACGCUCAUGCACGAAAGCGUGGGGAGCAAACAGGAUUAGAAACCCGAGUAGUC